UGCAGUCGAACGAGAAAGGGCGCCUUCGGGGGCCUGAGUAAAGUGGCGAACGGGUGAGUAACACGUGGGUGACCUGCCCUCUGGAGGGGGAUAACCCGAGGAAACUCGGGCUAAGACCGCAUAAGCCUUUGAGGUCAAACUCAAAGGGAAAAGGGUUUAGCUUUCGAGCUUGAUCCUACCGGAGGAGGGGCCCGCGUCCCAUUAGCUAGUUGGUGGGGUAAAAGCCUACCAAGGCUACGAUGGGUAGCCGGUCUGAGAGGACGGACGGCCACACUGGAACUGAGACACGGUCCAGACUCCUACGGGAGGCAGCAGUGGGGAAUUUUGGGCAAUGGGCGAAAGCCUGACCCAGCAACGCCGCGUGGAGGAUGAAGGCCCUCGGGUCGUAAACUCCUGUCCUAGGGGAAGAAAAAAAUGACGGUACCCUUGGAGGAAGCCCCGGCUAACUCCGUGCCAGCAGCCGCGGUAAGACGGGGGGGGCGAGCGUUGUUCGGAAUUACUGGGCGUAAAGGGCGCGCAGGCGGCUUGGGAAGUCUUGGGUGAAAGCCCCCAGCUCAACUGGGGAAUGGCCUGAGAAACCACUAGGCUGGAGUG
RNAcentral lists this ribosomal RNA (594 nucleotides) under uncultured bacterium. RNAcentral's name for it is "bacterial SSU rRNA". It matches the Rfam family "Bacterial small subunit ribosomal RNA", at positions 56 to 648 of the family's 1533-position model. The record is from RNAcentral.